UUUUAUUUGAGAGUUUGAUCCUGGCUCAGGAUGAACGCUGGCGGCGUGCCUAACACAUGCAAGUUGAGCGAUUUACUUCGGUAAAGAGCGGCGGACGGGUGAGUAACGCGUGGGUAACCUACCCUGUACACACGGAUAACAUACCGAAAGGUAUGCUAAUACGGGAUAAUAUAUUUGAGAGGCAUCUCUUGAAUAUCAAAGGUGAGCCAGUACAGGAUGGACCCGCGUCUGAUUAGCUAGUUGGUAAGGUAACGGCUUACCAAGGCGACGAUCAGUAGCCGACCUGAGAGGGUGAUCGGCCACAUUGGAACUGAGACACGGUCCAAACUCCUACGGGAGGCAGCAGUGGGGAAGAUUGCACAAUGGGCGAAAGCCUGAUGCAGCAACGCCGCGUGAGUGAUGAAGGCCUUCGGGUCGUAAAACUCUGUCCUCAAGGAAGAUAAUGACGGUACUUGAGGAGGAAGCCCCGGCUAACUACGUGCCAGCAGCCGCGGUAAUACGUAGGGGGCUAGCGUUAUCCG
This 521-nucleotide ribosomal RNA is filed under the name Clostridioides difficile. RNAcentral's name for it is "bacterial SSU rRNA". It matches the Rfam family "Bacterial small subunit ribosomal RNA", at positions 1 to 547 of the family's 1533-position model. Lineage: Bacteria; Bacillati; Bacillota; Clostridia; Peptostreptococcales; Peptostreptococcaceae. The record is from RNAcentral.